Molecule: ribosomal RNA, 494 nt
Filed under: uncultured bacterium
Lineage: Bacteria
Description: partial 16S ribosomal RNA
Rfam family: Bacterial small subunit ribosomal RNA
Source: RNAcentral
GACGAACGCUGGCGGCGUGCCUAAUACAUGCAAGUCGAACGGUUUAGUUCCAAGAGGCUUGCCUUUUGGAACUAGACAGUGGCGGACGGGUGAGUAACACGUAGGCAACCUACCUGUCAAACCGGGAUAACCUCGGGAAACCGAAGCUAAACCCGGAUAAGCUCCUUUUUCGCAUGAAGGGGGAGUGAAAAGGUGCGACCUGAUGACAGAUGGGCCUGCGGCGCAUUAGCCAGUAGGUAGGGUAACGGCCUACCUAGGCGAUGAUGCGUAGCCGACCUGAGAGGGCGUACGGCCACACUGGGACUGAGAUACGGCCCAGACCCCUACGGGAGGCAGCAGUAGGGAAUCUUCGGCAAUGGGCGAAAGCCUGACCGAGCAACGCCGCGUGAGUGAGGAAGGCCUUCGGGUUGUAAAACUCUGUUGUUUGGGAAGAAGGGAAAGGGUAGGACCCUUAGGUGACGGUACCAAACGAGAAAGCCCCGGCUAACUACGUG